UUAAAAGAAACUCUCUGUUUUCCAAAAACAAAAAUUUAUGCCCUAGUGUCUUAAACAUACACAAAACUCGUCUGCCUCUCUAUUCACGACCAAGAAUUUUGUUUUCUCAAAUUGAGUUUGUGGUUCGAGUUUGUUGGCUUGUGUAUCGCAGGUCUACCCAGUUUUUGACCUCCCUCGAUUGCGAAUCCCAGGUAUGACUCCUCUUCUGUGUUGAAACAAGUAAGUUUUUUCAAAUCUGAAAUAAAAAAAAUGAGAAAACAGUUCAUUUUCAACUGUCAUUCAAUAUUUUGGUCAAAUAUUUGGAGUUUUGCAAUCUUUGUUCCCCACAGUCUGAAAUGGUUUGGUAAUUAUUUUGUAGAAAGUGCUUUUUUGGUAUAUUAUUUUAUGUGGUUUGUAUUAUAGUUAAAACUUCUAGGUUGUAACUUGGCUACUAGAAUCAAGAUGUAAAGUAGUUGUCGUAGGUAUUUGGUAAAGCAGCGUACUCUAUUUAAGUUGUAAUUGCAGAAUUUGUGGCUAAUGAAUGGUUAUUUUGUCAAUUAUUAGAGCAUUUUUAAAUUUGACUGGUUAUUCUAGUUAAUAGUAGUUAUUAUGGUGAAUGGCUAUCAAUGAAUGGAGGGAGGAGAAAGGUUUGGGAUAUAUAUAGCAAUUCGUACAGUUACAAAUUGGAAAAAAAUAGACACAUAAUAAUUUUAGUUUUAUGUUGGAAGGGUUAGGCACCCAUUGUUAGGUGGAUAAUGUUGUGCACCCAGAGCCUACUGAGCUGGAGGGUGAGUUGGACAAGAAAGAUGCCAACCUAGAUGUCCAGAAAGUGGCGUCAAGAAGGAGCAUGUGUGUGAGGACUGUGCCAAAGAAGCUAGAUGUCACAUGAAGGGCAAGAAAGGUGCUGGGAGUUAGUAUAAGUAACUAGAUACUGGAAGGAAAAAGUAGGCAAGAAGUUAUAGAAAUUUCUUUCAUUCUCAUCUCUUAUGUUUACCUCCUUCUUCCAUGUUUGUUUAAGCUUUCAGUUGUUUGAUUCAAAUUUCAGCUGUUUGAUUCCUAUUGUAGUAGUUUGGUUGAUCACUUGAUCUAUAAUCUAAGUGUGUUUGGAUUGGUACUGUUUCAGAAUAUUAUGCCUUUCUGUUUCUUCAACCUUUAACCUUGACCAACACUAUUUAAGUAAAAUUUUGAUAGCAAGUUAUUGCUUUCUUAGAAUUUCUGCAAAGAAAUUUCCCCUUUAUUCGUCUUAAGCAACCUUUUGAUUCACAUAAAUUUUGGGUAUGUUGGAUCAUGCUUGUUUGAUUCCUAUUGUCUUGUUGGAGUUGCAGAUUCUUGAAUGUUACUAAUUUAUAUUGUAGUUGAUAUCAUUGAGCUAUCAGUUAAUUAAUUGCAUAUAUAAUUAAAUGCCACAUUUUUUACUAAUAUGAUUUCUUGGGUCCAUGUUCUAUAAGAAAGGAACGAGAGCAAACGCCUAGAUUUUUGUGCUCCUCUUUAGGGAUUUCUGAAAAUGAGGUGGAAUCUUUCCAUAAGAAUGCAGUUUAUGAUAAUCAACGUAUGCAAACUCCUAAAAGCACACGAUCAAAUUUUAUCAUGUCUUCUAAUUAAGAAAUACGAACAAUGGAUAAAAACUCAUUGGUUCUUAAGAAAAAGCAUAUGCAGACCAAUAUUUUAUUGCCUCCAUCUAGUGAUCAAGCUAUGAAAAACUCCCAAACAGUUGAAACAGGUAUGACAUUUUGAAUCCAUGUGUCAUUAAUUUGUAAAACUAAAUUUUGUUGCUAUAGUUUUAUCAAAUUAUCCAACUGUAGGUUCAUCUAAUCCUGAAAAGGUAAAAAGAGUUCAAGGUAGGAAUAACUGCAAAGAAAUUGCAUCACUUGAAGUCGGACAAAAGCUGAAAGUAACCUUUUAUAACAAUCGAACGAUUGGAACAAAUAACAAACUAUUUUCGAGGCACUUGGGCAGAAUAGUUCGUGACCGCAAUAUGUGUCCGCUGGGAGUAUCACCGUGAAAUGAUAUUAAGCAAGAAAAGUUGAAUCACAUGUGGGCAGCUAUUGAGGUACAAUUGCAACAUGCUCUUUUUGUUCCUAGCAAUAUUGGAUAUGGUUCAACAUGCCCCUUUCAUGAUGCUCUUUUUGUGAUUUAGCUUGAUCAGUGAGGUGCUGCAAACCUUGUGUAAACAGAAAUGCAAUUCUGUUUCAAGGCAAUAUAAAACAGAGUUGGUUUAUUUGUUUUUUCAAAUUAUUUCUGUUUAUGCUAGUAAUGACACUGUUGUCAACGUAUACAACCAUAUGGAGGCAGUAUAGAAUUUUGAUAGGAGAAGAAACAAUUCAACAUGCUAGGGGUCAAUCCAAAUUCAUGUUCUAGUGAUGUGGACAGAGAAUGCAAACAUAUUGUUGACAUGACAUACACAAUGACCUCUUUACAUGUGGCGUGUGAAGUUACGCUCCAGUUUGUGAUAGGGACAGAGAUGCCAAAUGUGGGCACAAUGACCUCUGCACAUGUGGCGUGUGAAGUUAUGCUCUAGUUAGUGAUAGGGACAGAGAUGCCAAAUGUGGGCGCAUGCAUCAGGGAACAGUGUGCUCUUUGGAUAACUAUGUUAGUCCUUUCGAGAUGAAACUCCUAUGUCAGUUUACCGAUUUGGUGAUGAUACUGAAACAAAUUUUGAGACUAUGAAUGAACUUCUUCUUAAACUUGCACAAUGAACUGCUUCUUGAACAGUGCAUUAACUAAAUAGAUAUUUUGAUUAUUGUAGAAUAAAUUUGAGAGUGUUGACAUGAAUGAUCAUCGUGAUCAUAUCUUGGGAUGAAAGAAAUGAAGAAAAUAAGGGAAUUUUUCGCUGCUCAAUAAUCACAUGUCUCGCCUACGACAUCGCUAAGCUGAAUGACUACUUUUGUCUGCUGAUCAACACUUUUGAUGUUGUUGUUGGAUAACACCUGAUAAAUUUAGACUGCAUUUGGGAAAUGCUUGGACAUGAAUUGAAGAAAAGUUGCAUAAAAUGGUACCUCAAAGCUACAAAAUGGAGCAAUAAAAGAAGACGUACAAGGCAAUAAAAAGUCAUGACUAUAGACAGUGCCUCGCGCAGAAACAUUGAUGCCAUAGACAGUGCCUCGCACGGAAAUAUUGGUUCCAUAAAGAGUGCCUCGAACGGAAAUAUUGGUUCCCCAGACAGUGCCUUGCGUCGAUGAUGCUAUCUGAGCCAAUUUUAUUUCCUCCUUAGUUUUUGACGUGGACACGUUAACCCUAUAUUAUAAAUACUUCUUAAAGUUAUUUUUUAAAAGAGGUAGACAUCAUUAGAGGGGAUUCGACCCAAGGAGGCAAGAACAUGCUAGGAGCAAAGAAGAGAAUUCUUCUACGAGUUUUUCACUUCCUUCUUCCUAUUUUUAUUAUUGGUUAUGAAUUCUAUUAUUGUAGUUUUGCAUACUAUUAAGAAUAGAUAAUUUGUUAUCUAUGGUUUUGAUGGAACCUUUUGUAAAAUAAAGUCUCGUUAUGUUUUUAUAUAAU
Molecule: long non-coding RNA, 3474 nt
Organism: Nicotiana tabacum (common tobacco)
Lineage: Eukaryota; Viridiplantae; Streptophyta; Magnoliopsida; Solanales; Solanaceae
Source: RefSeq, a predicted model, not a curated record